This 804-nucleotide ribosomal RNA is filed under the name uncultured bacterium. RNAcentral describes it as "bacterial SSU rRNA". It matches the Rfam family "Bacterial small subunit ribosomal RNA", at positions 8 to 809 of the family's 1533-position model. The record is from RNAcentral.
AGAGUUUGAUCCUGGCUCAGGAUGAACGCUGGCGGCGUGCUUAACACAUGCAAGUCGAACGAAGCACUGGAGCGGAAUCCCUUCGGGGAGGAAGCGCCUUUGACUGAGUGGCGGACGGGUGAGUAACGCGUGGGUAACCUGCCCCAUACAGGGGGAUAACAGCCGGAAACGGCUGCUAAUACCGCAUGUACAUGCGGGGGCGCAUGCCCUUGGAUGGAAAGCAUUAGCGGUAUGGGAUGGGCCCGCGUCUGAUUAGGCAGUUGGCGGGGUAACAGCCCACCAAACCGACGAUCAGUAGCCGGCCUGAGAGGGCGACCGGCCACAUUGGGACUGAGACACGGCCCAAACUCCUACGGGAGGCAGCAGUGGGGAAUAUUGCACAAUGGGGGAAACCCUGAUGCAGCGACGCCGCGUGGGUGAAGAAGUAUUUCGGUAUGUAAAGCCCUAUCAGCAGGGAAGAAAAAUGACGGUACCUGACUAAGAAGCACCGGCUAAAUACGUGCCAGCAGCCGCGGUAAUACGUAUGGUGCAAGCGUUAUCCGGAUUUACUGGGUGUAAAGGGAGCGCAGGCGGCACGCUAAGCCUGAUGUGAAAACCCGCGGCCCAACCGCGGGAGUGCAUUGGGAACUGGCGGGCUGGAGUACCGGAGGGGCAGGCGGAAUUCCUAGUGUAGCGGUGAAAUGCGUAGAUAUUAGGAGGAACACCAGUGGCGAAGGCGGCCUGCUGGACGGAGACUGACGCUGAGGCUCGAAAGCGUGGGGAGCAAACAGGAUUAGAUACCCUGGUAGUCCACGCCGUAAACGA